GCGGCGGACGGGUGAGUAACACGUAGGCAACCUGCCCACAAGACCGGGAUAACAUUCGGAAACGAAUGCUAAGACCGGAUACGCAAGCCUGGGGCAUCCCGGGCUUGGGAAACACGGCGCAAGCUGUGGCUUGUGGAUGGGCCUGCGGCGCAUUAGCUAGUUGGCGGGGUAACGGCCCACCAAGGCGACGAUGCGUAGCCGACCUGAGAGGGUGAACGGCCACACUGGGACUGAGACACGGCCCAGACUCCUACGGGAGGCAGCAGUAGGGAAUCUUCCACAAUGGGCGAAAGCCUGAUGGAGCAACGCCGCGUGAGUGAGGAAGGCUUUCGGGUCGUAAAGCUCUGUUGCCAGGGAAGAAUAAGGGCCAGUUAACUGCUGGUCCGAUGACGGUACCUGAGAAGAAAGCCCCGGCUAACUACGUGCCAGCAGCCGCGGUAAUACGUAGGGGGCAAGCGUUGUCCGGAAUUAUUGGGCGUAAAGCGCGCGCAAGCGGUUCUUUAAGUCUGGUGUAUAAGUGCGGGGCUCAACCCCGUGAGGCACUGGAAACUGGGGAACUUGAGUGCAGAAGAGGAGAGCGGAAUUCCACGUGUAGCGGUGAAAUGCGUAGAGAUGUGGAGGAACACCAGUGGCGAAAGCGGCUCUCUGGACUGUAACUGACGCUGAGGCGCCAAAGGCUGGGGAGCAAACAGGGUUAGAUACCCUGGUAUUCCACGCCCUAAACGAUGAAUGGUAGGUGGUGGGGGGGGAUCGCCCCCCCGGGGCGAAAGUUAAACAUUAAAGCCUUCCGCCGG
Molecule: ribosomal RNA, 794 nt
Filed under: Firmicutes bacterium enrichment culture clone CTBE CDB1006E08
Lineage: Bacteria; Bacillati; Bacillota
Description: bacterial SSU rRNA
Rfam family: Bacterial small subunit ribosomal RNA
Source: RNAcentral